GACGAACGCUGGCGGCGUGCCUAAUACAUGCCAGUUGAGCGCUGAAGGUUGGUACUUGUACCAACUGGAUGAGCAGCGAACGGGUGAGUAACGCGUGGGGAAUCUGCCUUUGAGCGGGGGACAACAUUUGGAAACGAAUGCUAAUACCGCAUAAAAACUUUAAACACAAGUUUUAAGUUUGAAAGAUGCAAUUGCAUCACUCAAAGAUGAUCCCGCGUUGUAUUAGCUAGUCGGUGAGGUAAAGGCUCACCAAGGCGAUGAUACAUAGCCGACCUGAGAGGGUGAUCGGCCACAUUGGGACUGAGACACGGCCCAAACUCCUACGGGAGGCAGCAGUAGGGAAUCUUCGGCAAUGGACGAAAGUCUGACCGAGCAACGCCGCGUGAGUGAAGAAGGUUGUCGGAUCGUAAAACUCUGUUGGUAGAGAAGAACGUUGGUGAGAGUGGAAAGCUCAUCAAGUGACGGUAACUACCCAGAAAGGGACGGCUAACUACGUG
RNAcentral lists this ribosomal RNA (497 nucleotides) under uncultured bacterium. RNAcentral describes it as "partial 16S ribosomal RNA". It matches the Rfam family "Bacterial small subunit ribosomal RNA", at positions 28 to 507 of the family's 1533-position model. The record is from RNAcentral.